Molecule: ribosomal RNA, 483 nt
Filed under: uncultured bacterium
Lineage: Bacteria
Description: partial 16S ribosomal RNA
Rfam family: Bacterial small subunit ribosomal RNA
Source: RNAcentral
AUUGAACGCUGGCGGCAGGCCUAACACAUGCAAGUCGAGCGGAUGAAGGGAGCUUGCUCCUGGAUUCAGCGGCGGACGGGUGAGUAAUGCCUAGGAAUCUGCCUGGUAGUGGGGGAUAACGUCCGGAAACGGGCGCUAAUACCGCAUACGUCCUGAGGGAGAAAGUGGGGGAUCUUCGGACCUCACGCUAUCAGAUGAGCCUAGGUCGGAUUAGCUAGUUGGUGGGGUAAAGGCCUACCAAGGCGACGAUCCGUAACUGGUCUGAGGGGUGGAUCAGUCAAACUGGAAUUGAGAAACGGUCCAGACUCCUACGGGAGGCAGAGGGGGGAAAAAUUGGACAAGGGGGGAAAGCUUAUUCCGGCCAUGCGGGUGGGUGGAAGAAGGCCUUCGGUUUGUAAAGCACUUUAAGGUGGGAGGAAGGGAAGUAAGUUAAUACCUUGCUGUUUUGACGUUACCAACAGAAUAAGCACCGGCUAACUCCGU